UGUUUAUUCGCUGGAGACAUAUAGAAUGGUUAGAAUCUUUAGAUUCUGUGAAAUUUUUAUGCAAACAUCAAAUGGAUAUAGAGCCAUGCCUUCGCAGGCUCGGUUGGAUAGGAAAUGUAUCUUUGAUCUUUGAAGCUCACACCAAUUUUCAUUUGUGUAAAGGUAUCAAACAGAGAGACUUGUUUUGUGCCAGUGAUGAAUGUCUCUGUACAAGACCCAUAUCAGCAGGUGAAUUGUAGCAUCUAAGAAGGCUUCACUCUUCCUUUUUAUUUUAUUUUUUUGUAAAUGCAUGGUUUGCUUCUCUAUAUUUGGAGUGUUAUUUUAUAGUUAACAACACUACCAACUUGUUUCCCUGGCAUUGAUGCUGUUAAUCUUUCAAUAGCAAGGAAAUGUUGAUCUCCAGAAUAUAUUUCCACUUUACUUUCUUGGCUCGCUUUUUUGAAAUUUGAUCCAACUUUAUCCAGGUCGUCAAUGUUCCAGAGAAGGUAGGACGUAAGCAUCCUGGAAGUGACAAUAUUCAGGGGAUGUUCAUGUCAUCAAUGAGAAAGUUGCUAACAAACAAGAAGGAAUUGGAGCUGCCUUCAUAGUUUCAAGGCAGCAGCAAGACAGUGGUAUUACUCCCUGACUUGCUGAUGUAGACAUUCAAGAGCAUGCGUUCCUGGAGGAAAGACUGCUCCCUGAAGGUAGAUAAAUUACUUGAAAGGCACAAAUGGAUUGCAGCUAAGAAUAUAGAGCCUAUAUCCAAAGUCUGCAAAAGUCUAGGUCCAGUUAGACUGAUCCAUAUGUUUGUAUAGAGCCUAUAUCCAACACAAAGCUUUGUAUGUUAAAGUUAACAUUAAAAUAAAAUUAUAUAUAU
Magnolia sinica is the source of this 856-nucleotide long non-coding RNA. RefSeq lists it as uncharacterized. NCBI's taxonomy places the organism in Eukaryota, Viridiplantae, Streptophyta, Magnoliopsida, Magnoliales, Magnoliaceae. The record is from RefSeq and is a predicted model, not a curated record. The transcript is spliced from 3 exons.